This 441-nucleotide ribosomal RNA is filed under the name Ceratophysella tergilobata. RNAcentral's name for it is "partial 16S ribosomal RNA". The stretch from base 84 to 441 matches the Rfam family "Bacterial large subunit ribosomal RNA", at positions 2046 to 2624 of the family's 2925-position model. The record is from RNAcentral. Lineage: Eukaryota; Metazoa; Arthropoda; Collembola; Poduromorpha; Hypogastruridae.
AUAAUCAUUAGCCUCUUAAUUAGGGGAUGGAAUGAAUGGUUUAACCUAAACAUAUUUUAUUUAGUUUAUUUAAUUGAAAUUUGAGUAUUAGUGAAAAUACUUGUUUAGUUCUAUAAGACGAUAAGACCCUAUAGAUCUUAAUCUAUUACUAAAAAUGCUAAUUUGGGGGAGUUAGCAUUUUUAGGGAUAGUUUUAGCUGGGGCAGCCAAAGAAUAUUAAAAACUUCUUUAAGAUUGACAAUAAAUUAAAAAUAUUUAAUCUUAAGUAAUAAACAAAAAAGUUACCUUAGGGAUAACAGCGUAAUUAAUUUAGAGAGCCCAUAUCGAUAAAUUGGAUUGCGACCUCGAUGUUGAAUUAAGAUUUCUAGUUAGGGCAGCUUUUAACUAAGAUGGUUUGUUCAACCAUUAAAUUCUUACAUGAUUUGAGUUCAAACCGGUGUGA